AGUGAACGCUGGCGGUAGGCCUAACACAUGCAAGUCGAACGGCAGCACAGUAAGAGCUUGCUCUUACGGGUGGCGAGUGGCGGACGGGUGAGGAAUACAUCGGAAUCUACUUUUUCGUGGGGGAUAACGUAGGGAAACUUACGCUAAUACCGCAUACGACCUACGGGUGAAAGCAGGGGAUCUUCGGACCUUGCGCGAUUGAAUGAGCCGAUGUCGGAUUAGCUAGUUGGCGGGGUAAAGGCCCACCAAGGCGACGAUCCGUAGCAGGUCUGAUAGGAUGAUCAGCCACACUGGAACAGAGACACGGUCCAGACUCCUACGGGAGGCAGCAGUGGGGAAUAUUGGACAAUGGGCGCAAGCCUGAUCCAGCCAUACCGCGUGGGUGAAGAAGGCCUUCGGGUUGUAAAGCCCUUUUGUUGGGAAAGAAAAGCAGCAGGUUAAUACCCCGCUGUUCUGACGGUACCCAAAGAAUAAGCACCGGCUAACUUCGUG
RNAcentral lists this ribosomal RNA (492 nucleotides) under uncultured bacterium. RNAcentral describes it as "partial 16S ribosomal RNA". It matches the Rfam family "Bacterial small subunit ribosomal RNA", at positions 29 to 507 of the family's 1533-position model. The record is from RNAcentral.